Helicoverpa armigera (cotton bollworm) is the source of this 1287-nucleotide long non-coding RNA. RefSeq lists it as uncharacterized. The record is from RefSeq and is a predicted model, not a curated record. The transcript has 2 exons. NCBI's taxonomy places the organism in Eukaryota, Metazoa, Arthropoda, Insecta, Lepidoptera, Noctuidae.
CUACGACUAAAAUUACGAGCACAAUAAAGUUUCAUAAUCGAAUGUUUACGAAACAAUGGCGGCUUUGUUUUUGGCGCGAACAUUUACGCGGGAAAUGGCGAAAGUGUACAACUACCGUUACGACUCGCACGUGCCUCUCGAUUCAAUAGUGUCUACAAUCAGCGCCAUCUAGUGCAGCGGCGAUAGCACGCACGAUGUUUUCGACCGUGGCUGGCGCCGCUCUGUUUUAUCGAGCGGUGUCGCCAAUCAGAAAGCCUGCAUUUACCGACUUUUGACAGUGACGUCUUAAAUGUCACUCACAUUUCUUCUUCCCUACAAUUUUUGUAAAACCUGUACCUACAUGUAUAAAAAAUAAACGCACUAGUUACUGGAAAAAUAAUAAAGCAAAUUCAUUGAAACACACACAAGAAUCCCGAACAAAAUUGGACCUUCAGACCCGGAUCUUCAGCAGAAUCAGCAUUGGCAGUCACGGUCAGGUCAAUCAAUCCUUUCCUUUCCCAAACCGCUACUCAAUUUGUGCUAACAUCGUCAUUAUUGUGCAAAUUCCAGUCUUCGCAGCCACAUGUGCAGCGGCCACAUUGCCACGAGCACGACAUUGCAGUUAAAACUAUCCGACAGAUUUGCUCCCGUUAAGUCCAGCUCAUUUUUUGAUUGGCCGGCCACUUACUGCGCCUGCUGACAAGAAAGACCUGACGAUGACAGCCACACAUCGCCUUCCACGAUAUGAUCGCAUAGAACAGAUGCGACAAAACUUCUGGCGUCGGUGGGCUACGGAAUAUAUUUCUGAGCUUCAGAAGAGGACCAAGUGGCAAUCUAACCAAGACACAUUACUUCCGAACACACUGGUCCUAAUAAAGAAGAUCACCUUCCACCCCUGAAAUGGCAACUUGGACGAGUGCAAGAGACGUUCCCAGGUCGAGAUGGCCUCUCUCGUGUAGCAGUCAUCAAGACGGCGACCGGAAUUAUCAAGAGGACGUACCCAAAACUCUGUCCACUACUACAACCACAGUAACUUCGUUGGAAGCUGGUGCUUCCAAGGCCGGGAGUAUGUCUACAAUCAGCGCCAUCUAGUGCAGCGGCGAUAGCACGCACGAUGUUUUCGACCGUGGCUGGCGCCGCUCUGUUUUAUCGAGCGGUGUCGCCAAUCAGAAAGCCUGCAUUUACCGACUUUUGACAGUGACGUCUUAAAUGUCACUCACAUUUCUUCUUCCCUACAAUUUUUGUAAAACCUGUACCUACAUGUAUAAAAAAUAAACGCACUAGUUACUGGAAAAAUAAUAAAGCAAA